Molecule: long non-coding RNA, 1558 nt
Organism: Ctenopharyngodon idella (grass carp)
Lineage: Eukaryota; Metazoa; Chordata; Actinopteri; Cypriniformes; Xenocyprididae
Exons: 3
Source: RefSeq, a predicted model, not a curated record
AGCGAUUCUGCCCUGCUCACCACGAAGGUUCGAGACAAGGAGAGAGGAACUGGAGAGCAGAAGAAAGAAAAGAGAGAAGGAGGGAAAGACAGAAGGAAAUCAUGGGGAGGAAAACAUGAUUUACACAGAAUUCAAUCAAGAAUCAAACCUGGUGAGGAGGUUAGAGCCAGCACUCCAUAAUACGAGAAGGCACCAGCUUCAAACUUCAUCCCCUCCUUUCCAGCCUCAACCUCCACCUUCCCCUGUGGGCCAACAGAGAUACAGAAAGGUUCUUACUGAUUGGCUGAAAUGAUGUUUGUGAUGUUGCCUAGAAUUCGUCAAAAUAAACCCCCGAUAUACUUCAAACGAAAUCGAAGAUCGAACUGGUGUUAACAAAAUCAGGACAAAACGAAGGUCAUGCUACCAUAAGUAAAAACACGAAUACACCAGAGAGCCCCAAAGCGCUUUUCUGAAGCUAGCGUAUUUUUCCAAUUGUUUUCAAUGGGAGCACCGGAUUUUUAAAACGCCAGGAGCGUAAAGAGGCACUGAGCGUCUAUUUCACGCUGAAGCGUUCAGCGUUUUUUACCGGUCGCUGAGUGUUGAAGAAUGUUCAACUUUGGGUAAAACGCAGCGCUCUUCACUGUCACUUUGUACCCAGCCAUCCAAUCACACUGAAGGAGGGGCGGGACAAAUACAACACCGACCAACCGCCACAUUCUGCUUGUACAACGUCAACAGAUGACAACAACUAGCAUAAAAAAGGAACAAAAUAAUUUAAAACAAGAGCCAGAGAAAAUCCUUUACAUCGUAUCGACAUUUUUAUAUAGAAACAGUGCAUAAACAAACUAUAUGUGAAAUGAGAUACUAGUAACACUCCCGUGGAUAUUCAAAGCGAACAGUGAGAGUCUCAACUGAAAAAAAAAAAAAACGCUGUGCUACCGAAGCACUCUCAAGUGCCCACAGCUAGGCGUUUUCAGCUGGCUAAAAAACGCUUUGGUGGACACACGGCCUUAUAGUAGAAAAUGAAGUUGUAAUUCUAAGAGAAAGAGACACUGACACUGUUUUUUUUUUUUUCAUGUUUAAUACUGUAAAGCUGCUUGCUUUUAAACAAUCUAUUGUAUAAAGUGCUAUAUAAAUAGACGUGACGUGACUUUACUGGAUUGCUGAAUUGCAGAGCUCAUGCAAACACAUCCACGUUGCUAUCAGAUGCUUUCUUAACUGUUGUUUUCUCACCACUGAGAUUUAUGUUGUGUUUGUUUUUGAAAGCAAAGCACACAGCACAUAUUUACAUAUUCAUCUAAACGCCGCUCUCAGCAGUGUGGGCAGUGUCAGGAUGUUCACUACAGUAUACCGCUUGUCACGUAUUUCAAACUCGAAAAAGAACUUUGCUAUGAGUAUAUCAGGACCUUUAGAAGGCCAUCAACCCUUUGCAAACCUUUGGUAGGCAGCUCACUAGGUUCAGAGCUUCAAAGGUUGUAAUCCUGUAAAGGCCAUGACAUUGUUCAUAGCUCAAGGUCUGCAAAGGUUGUGACCUUUCGCUCAAUCAGAACUCAUAACAUUGAGAUACAGCUGAGAAUGU